Molecule: ribosomal RNA, 492 nt
Filed under: uncultured bacterium
Lineage: Bacteria
Description: partial 16S ribosomal RNA
Rfam family: Bacterial small subunit ribosomal RNA
Source: RNAcentral
AUUGAACGCUGGCGGCAUGCUUUACACAUGCAAGUCGAACGGUAACAGGCCUUCGGGUGCUGACGAGUGGCGAACGGGUGAGUAAUGCAUCGGAACGUACCCAGAGGUGGGGGAUAACGCAGCGAAAGCUGUGCUAAUACCGCAUGUGAUCUGAGGAUGAAAGCGGGGGACCGAGCAGCAAUGUUUGGCCUCGCGCCUUUGGAGCGGCCGAUGUCGGAUUAGCUAGUUGGUGGGGUAAAGGCCUACCAAGGCGACGAUCCGUAGCUGGUCUGAGAGGACGACCGGCCACACUGGAACUGAGACACGGCCCAGACUCCUACGGGAGGCAGCAGUGGGGAAUUUUGGACAAUGGGCGCAAGCCUGAUCCAGCAAUGCCGCGUGCGGGAAGAAGGCCUUCGGGUUGUAAACCGCUUUUGGCAGGAACGAAACGGUGUCCGCUAAUACCGGGCGCUAAUGACGGUACCUGCAGAAUAAGCACCGGCUAACUACGUG